CGCCCCGAAUCGGUUCUCUAGGAACCUUUUCAUUAAGCUUAGUCAAUGUAAAUAUAACUAUGAACUGUUCAGCGUUGUGUGCAGAAACCUAAAUGUUAACAUCAACAUCGGGCUCUUUAAAGUCUAUCGAAAUAACUACGCUUAAUACGCGCAAUUUGUCUAUGCCGUAGUUAAACUAACUUGUAAUCUUAACGUCUCACUACGAUUCGAAGAUUAACCAGUGUUGCUUGCUGUUAUCGGUUGCUAUGGCCCUCAUAACCUUGGUUCUGUGUGUGCCUGUGCUGUGCUAAAUGUGCACAUGUUUUCUUCUUUUUUUUCUCAUUAAUUUACUUAUACAAGGAUUUUAUUCUUUUCCGUUUUUCUCAUUGCUUCUCUUUAUGUACCUCGUAUUUAAUAAUAAAUAGUAUAAGAUUUACUUCUAAGCGACUAUUAUGGGUCAUAAUUUACUUUAGCUGACUAAAUACACCAGAAAAUAAAAAAUAGCUCUUUUUUAUAAUCAUCCCGGACUAAUAAUUUCAAAGAUCAAAGUGUUUAUGUUUUGGAAAGAACGAAGUGAAAUGGAACGAAAGUUUACCCCAACUCUUGCAAUACAAAUUCACGCUUUUGCGAUGUUAACUCGGCGGCGUAUGGUGCAUGAUCUGAGGCAUUAUUAAAUCCUAUCAUGUUCGAAGUCGAGAGUAGCACCGACGAAAAUUCUCAUGGUACUCAAACACGAUUAUCAACACUUUUAAUGUUAUCGGUGCUUGUGAACAGUGAUAUCCAUUCUUUGCCCACUGAACAUAUAAUUCUUUGCUGGUCAAUGGUUAUUUUAUCAUGCCAAUUUAAAUCUAGCGAAUAUUUUAUCGAGAGGCACUUUGCCGAAAAAAGUACUUCCUUCGAAUAUUUGGAAAAAUGAUGCAGAUUUUCUGAAAAGCUAUUGGUCUAAUUGGCUAAAAGAAGUAACCUUUCUAACUGAACUGUCGGAAAGAAAGCGUGCAUUAGCCACUUCACUACACAGUUGGACAAGAAGCUGCAAGUACCACAGUUGAGUGUGCAUAGCGUCAAGCACACAUAGCAACAUUUAUCAAUUCAACAAACUUAAUUCGUGUUGGUGGGAGACUUAAUGUCAGUCAUUCAUUCCCAUCAGAGAUUUUUCCAUGCAGCGUUGCACUACUUGGUCAUUGCAAUCUGGCGGAAGUAUCAACGCUUGAAUGGGCAGAAAACAGUCGUAUAUGUAAACAUCAAAUAUAUUGAGCGUGCAAUAGCAAAACUAGUAGUACUGUCUAUUCAUUAUGACCCUGGAAGCCAAAACCUUUCAAUGAAUGGACGAUAUUCCUGGCGCAUCUGCCUAUGUUGCGUUUAGCUUACGCAACUUUAAUGUAAUACAUUUAUGAUUUACACAUAAUUUAAGAUAAUUGCAAGUUGUCUUUUACUCGCUUACAUACGUAUAUACAUAGGUGUGCUGCAUUAAUUGCUAUUUCCCAGGUAGGAACACACAGUUUUCCUUGAAACACACACUUACA
Glossina fuscipes is the source of this 1502-nucleotide long non-coding RNA. RefSeq lists it as uncharacterized. The record is from RefSeq and is a predicted model, not a curated record. Lineage: Eukaryota; Metazoa; Arthropoda; Insecta; Diptera; Glossinidae. The transcript has 3 exons.